CAGCAGCCACGGUAACACGGAGGAUCCAAGCGUUAUCCGGAAUCAUUUGGUUUAAAGGGUCCGUAGGCGGUCUUGUAAGUCAGUGGUGAAAGCCCAUCGCUCAACGGUGGAACGGCCAUUGAUACUGCAGGACUUGAAUUAUUGGGAAGUAACUAGAAUAUGUAGUGUAGCGGUGAAAUGCUUAGAGAUUACAUGGAAUACCAAUUGCGAAGGCAGGUUACUACCAAUUGAUUGACGCUGAUGGACGAAAGCGUGGGUAGCGAACAGGAUUAGAUACCCCUGUAGUCCCUGUCUCUUAUAC
This 301-nucleotide ribosomal RNA is filed under the name uncultured bacterium. RNAcentral's name for it is "partial 16S ribosomal RNA". It matches the Rfam family "Bacterial small subunit ribosomal RNA", at positions 509 to 807 of the family's 1533-position model. The record is from RNAcentral.